RNAcentral lists this ribosomal RNA (423 nucleotides) under uncultured bacterium. Its description in RNAcentral is "bacterial SSU rRNA". It matches the Rfam family "Bacterial small subunit ribosomal RNA", at positions 207 to 622 of the family's 1533-position model. The record is from RNAcentral.
AAGACCUUGCACUUUUGGAGCGGCCGAUGUCUGAUUAGCUAGUUGGUGGGGUAAUGGCCUACCAAAGCUUCGAUCAGUAGCUGGUCUGAGAGGACGGCCAGCCACACUGGGACUGAGACACGGCCCAGACUCCUACGGGAGGCAGCAGUGGGGAAUUUUGGACAAUGGGCGCAAGCCUGAUCCAGCCAUGCCGCGUGAGUGAAGAAGGCCUUCGGGUUGUAAAGCUCUUUCAGCCGGGAAGAAAAGGUUGCGACUAAUAAUCGCAAUUCAUGACGGUACCGAAAGAAGAAGCACCGGCUAACUACGUGCCAGCAGCCGCGGUAAUACGUAGGGUGCGAGCGUUAAUCGGAAUUGCUGGGCGUAAAGGGUGCGCAGGCGGUUUUGUAAGUCAGAUGUGAAAUCCCCGGGCUUAACCUGGGAACU